Molecule: transfer RNA, 68 nt
Filed under: Cordylochernes scorpioides
Lineage: Eukaryota; Metazoa; Arthropoda; Arachnida; Pseudoscorpiones; Chernetidae
Description: tRNA-Gly
Source: RNAcentral
GCAUCGGUGGUUCAGUGGUAGAAUGCUCGCCUGCCACGCGGGCGGCCCGGGUUCGCUCGCAAGCAGCG